GAUGAACGCUGGCGGCGUGCUUAACACAUGAAAGUCGAACGGAAAGGCCCAAGUUUGCUUGGAUUCUCGAGUGGCGAACGGGUGAGUAACACGUGGGUGAUCUGCCCUGCAAUUCGGGAUAAGCCUUGGAAAAUGGGUCUAAUAACGGAUAGGACCACAUUUUGGAUGGUGUGGUGGAAAGUUUUUCGGUGUGGGAUGAGCUCGCGGACUAUCAGUUUGUUGGUGGGGUAAUGGCCUACCAAUGCGUCGACGGGUAGCCGGCAUGUGAGGGUGGACGGGCUCAUUGGGACUGAGAUACAGCCCAGACUCGCACGGGAUGCAGCAGUGGGGAAGAUUACACAAUAAGCGGAAACCAGUCGCAGCGACGCCGCGUGGGGGAUGACGGCCUUCGGGUUGGAAUCUCCUUUCUCUAGGGACGAUUCGUUAUGUGACGGUACCGGGAGAAGAAGCACAGGCUAGCUACGUG
RNAcentral lists this ribosomal RNA (466 nucleotides) under uncultured bacterium. Its description in RNAcentral is "partial 16S ribosomal RNA". It matches the Rfam family "Bacterial small subunit ribosomal RNA", at positions 28 to 507 of the family's 1533-position model. The record is from RNAcentral.